GGGCCCGCACAAGCGGUGGAGCAUGUGGUUCAAUUCGACGCAACGCGAAGAACCUUACCCAGGCUUGAACAGCGAGUGACAAACUACGAAAGUGGUCUUCCGCAAGGACACUCGUAGAGGUGCUGCAUGGCUGUCGUCAGCUCGUGUCGUGAGAUGUUGGGUUAAGUCCCGCAACGAGCGCAACCCUUGUCUUCUGUUGCCAUCAGGUCAAGCUGGGCACUCUGGAGAGACUGCCGGUGAUAAACCGGAGGAAGGUGGGGAUGACGUCAAGUCAGCAUGGCCUUUAUGUCUGGGGCUACACACGUGCUACAAUGGCCGACACAAACCGUCGCAAAACCGCGAGGUGGAGCUAAUCGGAUAAAGUCGGUCUCAGUUCGGAUAGCAGGCUGCAACUCGCCUGCUUGAAGUUGGAAUCGCUAGUAAUCGCGGAUCAGCACGCCGCGGUGAAUACGUUCCCGGGCCUU
This 464-nucleotide ribosomal RNA is filed under the name uncultured bacterium. RNAcentral describes it as "bacterial SSU rRNA". It matches the Rfam family "Bacterial small subunit ribosomal RNA", at positions 917 to 1382 of the family's 1533-position model. The record is from RNAcentral.